AAAAUACAUACACUGUUUUUGUAUUCCUGGGUUGUGAAUUCUGUCUUUCAUCUGCUAAAGCCUGUAGGGGCCGCCUAUUCAGAGAGGGCUGCUGGAGGAAUUUGCAGGGGUGGGCUUCACUCCUGUGGUUUUACCCAGCUAUGCCUCAGAUUUCCUUAUUUCAAGCCAUCCUCUGUUGAAGAUAUGGAUGAUACAGUAAAACCAAAGGCCCUUGAGAGCAGAUUGCAUGAAUAUUUUGCUGUAGCCACGUUUUGAUUUCAUGACGCUGUCCAAGAAGGCACCACAGAGUGUUUUUGCUUACACAAGAAAGAACUCGCAUCAUCUCCUGGAAAGAAUCUCAGGUGAAGCAAAUGUAAUGGACCAUUUGUCUAAACAGUGCUACGCUUGUGGACUUCAAGUGUGAAAACAGAUCCAAGACGCAAUCAUCCACCUCCAACAGAUUCAGGACGCAAUCAGCUACCUCCAUACUAGGGAGCAGGAUGGUGAGGGGACAGGUAUUUUGGGUGAUAUGACAACUAAUUGUAAUUAAUGUAAUUAAUUACAUGUAAUUGUAACAUUUACAAUGGAUUGUUUGCAGGGUAGGUAUACAUUUUCAUGGUCCUGAUAAUUGACAAGACUCAGGUGUCUGUAAAUACUGC
RNAcentral lists this long non-coding RNA (638 nucleotides) under Bos indicus x Bos taurus (hybrid cattle). RNAcentral describes it as "lncRNA (ENSBIXG00000017486.1)". The record is from RNAcentral. Lineage: Eukaryota; Metazoa; Chordata; Mammalia; Artiodactyla; Bovidae.